UGAUAGUUAAGUAGAUAGAGGGUAAAAUAUCAGACUCGAGCGUGAACAAAACAGGAUGGGGAGGGAGGGACCGAGGAUGAUAAUCGGAGGGUUGCAAUCAAGUUGAAAUUAAAUCGAUGAAAUAAUCUUUAUCGAAAUCGGUGGUAGAUGGUAGAAGAGAAGAAAGAAGGAAGGAAGGAAGGAAGGAAGAAGAACAAGCACCAUCGUCAUCGCUUUCUGGUAUUUCGUUGAAGCAACAGCUAGCAGUGGUGGUGGUGGUGGUUUUAUAGCGGUGUUCGUUGUGUAGUUCGACUUGGUGGUGGGGGGGGGGUGGUUGCACGCUGAAUUAGGGGUAGCAUCAGAGAGAGAGAGAGAGAGAGAAGAACGAAGAAGAGUAGGGAGAAGGACGAGAAUAGAAGAGUCGAGUGGUGGGGAGUUUUGAAAAGAGAGAGAGAGAGAGUAGAAAGAUGGUAGAGGGGAGAGGAAGGAAGAAAGAGGGUGGAAGGGGACGAGAACGGGACAGAGAAUGUCUACAGUAGUAACGGCUGCGUAUACGAGGUUUUAACUCAUGGGGAAAAGUCCGAGAGAGAGGGUGAAAGAGCUUGAGAGAGAGAGAGAGAGAGAGAGAGAGAGAGAGUAAGCACGAGCUUGGUACUCUCAGUCGCGUGUGACACGCGGCCUCAGCUGCCACGUUCGGAAUCUGUCGGAGUUUUCUUCUUUCCGUUUCGUCAAAAAGGCCAACCAAACCAACCAACCAAACCAACCAACCAAUCAACAAGGCAUAAAUAACCCUUCUCGCCAGAUUUUACGCGACGUUUUAAUUUCGCGAGGAAAAAAAAAAGAAAAAAUAUAAUUUCGAAAAGGAAAAGAAGAUAAAAGAAAAAAAAGAAAAUAAAAAAGAAAAGAAAAACUAACGCGAGACACGGAUAAAAUCGUGAAAGGAAAAGUGCGAGAAUUGUUUUUUAUCGAAACAACGUGUGUUAUUGUUCAAAUUAUUCAAUCUACGGUUACUUUUUUUUUUUUCUUUUCUUUUCGUAGAAAGAGAGAGAAAAUAAAAAGAAAAAGAAACUUGAUGAAAAAAGAAUCAGUGUCCUUGUACCGUUAAAGUAAUCGUUUACGAAAGAUCGUUCGUUCGUUCGUUCGGUUCGUUCCUUCCUUCUUCGUACAUUUUUCUCGUCUUUUCUCGAAGUUUAAAGUACUUCGUAAGUUCGAGAAAAGAAGAAGACAAGAAGAAAAAAGAAAAAAAAGAAAGUUUUCUUUAAAGGAAGGAAUUAGAAUCUCGUAAAAGUAAAAAAAAGAAUAAAAAAAAUAAAAACGAAGAAAAAAAAGAAAGAAAGAAAGAAGAAAAAAUAAAGUUUUCCCUCGGACUUCGGAAGGAAGAAAAGUCGAGGAGGAGGAGGAGGAGAAGCAGGAGGAGGAGGAAAAAGGCACCCACCCCCUUCACUGCUCCCCUAAAAUCCGUUCGAAUAGAUUUUAAUCGCGGACGAAGUGUAGAAGUUUCCACACCACUCCUUUUCCCCUUCCCCUUCCUCUCUCUCUCUCUCUCUCUCUCUUUCUUUCUUUAAGCGGCUACUACACGAGAAUGUAAGUGCGAGAAAGAAGAAAUCGUGGUACGAGUUCUUCUAUUCGUAGCGAAUCAAGUUUUCUCGCGGACAAUGAUAUUCGUUAUCGGACUUCGGAAGGAAUAAGUUUUCUUCGGGCUAAAAAAGGGAAGAAAAAUAACAGAAGAGGAGAGGAGAAGAGAAGGGGGCGGGGGUGGGUGCGAGGGUGGACGAAUCGCGCGUGUCCAGGAAGAAAAAUUUAGUUACUUUGAUAGUAAAGAAAACGCUAUGAAGGAAGGUAAACGUAAUUUCGAAGAGGAGAGAGAAAAGUUGGAUGAUGAAUCGUUGAGAAUGAGUUUAACGUUUGGCGCCAAGUGUCGCGCGUCUAACCUUAGCUAAAGUGUUAAGAGUAAUACUGAACUGACUGAGAGAAGAAGAAGAAUAAGAAGAAAAAGAAGAAGAAGAAGAAUAAGAAGAAGAAAUAGUAGAAGAAGAAGAAGAAAGUCUUGUUGAAACCUUACUAUUGCUGCUACUGCUGCUGCUACUAGUAGUGGUGGUGGUGAUAUUACUGGGUGCUGAUAUUGCUGCUAGAAAACUCGUUAUCGUGAUUCCUAGUCGAGUAAAACGAAAAAAAAGGGCCCAGUCGAUUGCAUCGAAAACUUUGACUGAAACCGUGCAAGAAGAAAAUGACAUUUGUUAUCAUCAAUCUUAACGUCAUUCGUUAUUAUAUUAUUUCGUUCAAAAUCUAACGAGUGUCUCUUCGAAGAGAAA
RNAcentral lists this long non-coding RNA (2291 nucleotides) under Polistes fuscatus (common paper wasp). RNAcentral's name for it is "uncharacterized LOC122520124, transcript variant X1". Lineage: Eukaryota; Metazoa; Arthropoda; Insecta; Hymenoptera; Vespidae. The record is from RNAcentral.